UACGUAGGGGGCUAGCGUUGUCCGGAAUCAUUGGGCGUAAAGCGCGUGUAGGCGGCCCGAUAAGUCCGCUGUGAAAGUCCAGGGCUCAACCCUGGGAUGCCGGUGGAUACUGUCGGGCUCGAGUCCGGAAGAGGCGAGUGGAACUCCUGGUGUAGCGGUGGAAUGCGCAGAUAUCAGGAAGAACACCGAUGGCGAAGGCAGUUCUCUGGGCCGUAACUGACGCUGAGGAGCGAAAGCGUGGGGAGCGAACAGG
This 253-nucleotide ribosomal RNA is filed under the name uncultured bacterium. Its description in RNAcentral is "partial 16S ribosomal RNA". It matches the Rfam family "Bacterial small subunit ribosomal RNA", at positions 524 to 776 of the family's 1533-position model. The record is from RNAcentral.